Phoenix dactylifera (date palm) is the source of this 1993-nucleotide non-coding RNA. The record is from RefSeq and is a predicted model, not a curated record. Lineage: Eukaryota; Viridiplantae; Streptophyta; Magnoliopsida; Arecales; Arecaceae.
CUCAGAUUGAAAGCCGUCCUCGAAAGCCCUUACACGUGACUGAAGAUGGCACCAAUGGGCAUCUGAAGUUAUUACCAGAACUAUCCUGUACUUUGACUCUAUGUAGAUUUUGAAGCAUCAGUGGCUGUACCAAAUGCUCGGAAUGCCCUUAGGCACCUAAAGGAAUUUGUGAUGAUCUUAAGAGUGCUGGGUAGUUAUCCAAUGGACAUGAGCCAGGCAUAAAUGACCUGAAGGGAGGUGAACACACCUAUGCAUAGAAUUUAGGGACAAGGAGACAAAAGCUGUUUAAAAAGGGCAGGAUCUGCUUCAUCCAGUCAACACUGUUUGAGGAACAUAUAGUUGUCUCAAGGAUUGAAAUGGAGAUAUGGUGUGAUGAGGCAUAGUGGUUCUCUUUUGCCUAGAGGUUUGAUAUUACUGCCUUGCCAUUAUUCCUAUUCUUUUUAUCUGGGAGAAACUGAUAUCCGGCAGUUAAUUUCUGUAUUGGUUUGUGUUGAGCCUGUCUGCUGAUUCCACAAUUGCUGCAACUGCUAAUCUCCUCCAACCUUUACUUGUUGGGAGGGUUGAAUGCUCUUGUUCUUAAGCACAACAACCCGGAAUUUUCAUUGAUCGGAGACAUCGGAGUAUAUGGUUCUAGAAAAGAUUAUCCGUGCAUUUAAUUAAGUCAUGCAUCAAAAUCAAACCAGUCAAGAAAAUCUUCCUUUGCUUGCUCUGGGAAUUGAACGCGGUUGAGAUAAUACAGUACUUUUUCUAAUACUCUGAGACUCUCAGAAAAUUGCAGGGUUGUCGUGUUCCAACCACCAAACAGUGCAAUCUGUCACCCUCAGAACAAAAGGCAUAGGGCCGUAGCCCUUUUCUUUUUCAAAGCCGAAUGGAUCGGCAUCUUUUUCGGAUUAUAUAUAUGCACACGUCAUGGUGGCUAUGAUGGAGUGGACAUGUUGUCUCCUGGAGUGAUUAAUUUGAACAGCUGCUGGAGCCGAACUGUGCUACAGGUAUGAUGGUAGCAUGUUCGAGGGCCAGAUUGUGUUCGCUACGACCCUUAAGAGCUUCAUAGAGGGACCUGUAUUUGAUCUGGCAGCAGACUGGUGCUGCUGCUGCUGCUGCUGCUGCUGCCAAUCCUCAUGGCCCCCUGCUUGUUAUCAUUCCUCAUGGUCCUUCUUAAUGGGUAAUCCAGGUGUAAUCAUUCCUCUUUCAUGAUUGCUGAUGAUCUAAUGACAUUGUGGAUUUGGGUUUGAGUGCCAAAUCUGUUGUCAGAAAGUGGCAUUGCCUGCACAGGAGAGCAGCACGGUAAGAACCGUGCCAAAGAGCCUGCUAGAGUGACUGUUUUCCUGUUGUCUUGCCAAUGCGCCUGAUGUUCCUGCCACCUACCGGUCGGAGCGCCGUGGAUUUCAUUUUCUUCUUUUUCUUCUUCUCCUUCUUCUUGUUGUUUUUGUUUUUUAAUAGAACGGAAGGAUAAUAUCAUUCUAGUGUCAAUACAUCCUAUAAAAUUCGAAAACAAAAUAUUAUGAAACAUGCAAGAGAACAUAUGCAAAAUCAACCUACAAAGAGCUACCGUCCGCGUCCACAGCGAGCGCCGUCCAAAUGUGAGCCGCUUGGAAUAAUACAGUGCAGCUCGAAGGUGGGAGUGGUCGAGGAGCAUUAAAAAAAGUGAGAAAGGCAUGGAUUCCGGUGCAUUGCGUCCGCCAUGACUAGAUGGAGGGGAGCCCACCUUGAUUCAUGGACGUUACUGAAAUAGACUGGUUGGAUCUGAUUGAUGGCCCCACUGGAGGCUAGUGGUUUGUAUAUUUCCGCAGAACCUGAAAGGUAUACACAAAGGCCGGCUUAAUCCUUAGGCCCUCCCCUCAAAUGCACUUAUUAUUGUAAGUUCUAAGGCGAGCGUCUAAAUGCAUCAAGGGCCUCGUAUUUUUAUAGCUAUAAAUGCAUUGAGAUCCCUAAAUGUAUUUAUGUUAGGACGUAUUUCUUACCUAAAAAAAUUUAUUAUCUUUUUUUUUAUUUA